Molecule: long non-coding RNA, 464 nt
Organism: Dendronephthya gigantea
Lineage: Eukaryota; Metazoa; Cnidaria; Anthozoa; Malacalcyonacea; Nephtheidae
Exons: 3
Source: RefSeq, a predicted model, not a curated record
AAAUUGUAAACUUAGUAGAGGACUUGCGAUUUUGGAUGCGAAAAGCUGGAUUUGGCGACUAGUGCGAGCUAUUUUAAGAAGCAGUAGAAGGACAGAAGUCCACAAUGCCCGGUAGAGGGUAGAAGAAGCAAUGCCAAUGGGAAACUCAAACACAAAUUUCAAUACAAGAAAGCCCUAACCAGGCCCUAACCUAGCGAAACGAUGUUGAAAACAACCCCAAAAUAACUGUUCAAUUCUCAAUGGACGAAGCAACUUACCAUGAUGCAGUAAAUCUAGAUUGAAGACUCGUUUCGUGCAAUUGGCACAACAGGAAACCUCCGAAAAUUUUACUACGAGGAAAAUUGUAAAAGAAGAAACGUGGAUCAGUAUUGCUUAUACAGCCAGGUCAUCAUCUUGGUAGAGUGAGUCUUAGCUUAGUAGAACUCUAGUAGAACUGAACAACCAGUGUCUUAAUGACUAUACCA